CUCUGGCUCUGCUCCUGUCCUCGGUGCACUUCAGAAUUUCUACAGGCUCUCCAUGUAGUGCCAGCUCCAUGGGUGGCCUGGAGAAGAUGGGUCAGUGUGGGAGUGAGAGGGGCUGCUUGUGCAUUGCUAGGAAAGGUCCUGGCCCUGGUAGGAUUCAUCAUUUCAGUUUGAGGAAACCGGAACUGACAAAUAAACAAAUCCCUGAAAUUUAAGGUAAAAUAAAGAAAAAAAUCUUUGUAAAUGUUAAAUAAUU
RNAcentral lists this long non-coding RNA (253 nucleotides) under Parus major (Great Tit). Its description in RNAcentral is "lncRNA (ENSPMJG00000013719.1)". Lineage: Eukaryota; Metazoa; Chordata; Aves; Passeriformes; Paridae. The record is from RNAcentral.